Molecule: ribosomal RNA, 385 nt
Filed under: uncultured bacterium
Lineage: Bacteria
Description: bacterial SSU rRNA
Rfam family: Bacterial small subunit ribosomal RNA
Source: RNAcentral
AACGAACGCUGGCGGCGUGCCUAACACAUGCAAGUCGAGGGAGAAAGCCGCAAGGUGAGUAAACCGGCGAACGGGUGCGUAACACGUGGAUAAUCUACCUUCCUGACUGGGAUAACUGGCCGAAAGGCUUGCUAAUACCAGAUAAGCCCACGAGCUCUUUGGAGCACGAGGGAAAAGGUGGCCUCUGUAUACAAGCUAUCACAGGGGAGAUGAGUCCGCGGCCCAUCAGCUAGUUGGCGGGGUAAAAGCCCACCAAGGCAACGACGGGUAGCUGGUCUGAGAGGAUGAUCAGCCACACUGGAACUGAGACACGGUCCAGACUCCUACGGGAGGCAGCAGUGGGAAUCUUGCGCAAUGGGCGAAAGCCUGACGCAGCAACGCCGCG